Molecule: unclassified non-coding RNA, 2114 nt
Filed under: Orbicella faveolata
Lineage: Eukaryota; Metazoa; Cnidaria; Anthozoa; Scleractinia; Merulinidae
Description: putative pre-mRNA-splicing factor ATP-dependent RNA helicase PRP1, transcript variant X3
Source: RNAcentral
UCUUUACCGGCGAAACUCAUGGAGGAAGUUUUGCAGUUGUAAACCAGUUUUUGCGAAGCUUUUGGAGGGUAAUUUUCGCUUUGAUAUCAGGGUAAGAUGUCAAAAAGAAGACUGGAUGUCGAUGGCAACUCUUCCAAUUCAGUCAGCACCGCGAAAAGGAUUCGAGAAGAGUUGAGCAAUCCCAGUAAUCUACGUGGAAAGAUCAACCCCUUCAAUGGCAAGCUGUUCUCAGACAGAUAUUUUGACAUUCUUAAGAAGAGAAUUGAGCUGCCAGUAUGGGAAUACAGAGAAAAGUUUAUGGAGAGUAUGAAAGAGCACAAAGCUUUUGUUCUUGUUGGAGAAACGGGAUCUGGGAAGACAACACAGAUUCCUCAGUGGUGUCUUGAAACUCGCAUGGACAAGCGCAAAUGUGUUGCCUGUACUCAGCCCAGAAGGGUAGCUGCCAUGAGUGUUGCUCAGCGUGUCGCUGAUGAACUGGACGUGAUGAUAGGUCAAGAAGUUGGGUACACCAUUCGAUUUGAAGACUGCACCAGUCCCAGAACAAUACUGAAGUACAUGACAGAUGGUAUGCUGCUACGUGAAGCUAUGACAGAUCCUUUGCUGGAUCGUUAUGCUGUCAUUUUGCUUGAUGAAGCUCACGAGAGAACUCUCGCAACUGAUAUCCUCAUGGGUCUACUGAAAGAGGUCGUGCGUCAAAGACAUGACCUCAAGAUUAUUAUCAUGAGUGCCACUUUAGAUGCUGGAAAGUUUCAGGACUACUUUGAUAAAGCUCCUCUCAUGACAAUACCUGGACGGACACACCCUGUGGAGAUCUUCUACACCCCUGAACCUGAGCGAGACUACCUGGAGGCAGCCAUAAGAACAGUUGUACAGAUUCACAUGUGUGAGGAAGUGGAGGGUGACAUUUUGCUCUUUCUCACUGGGCAAGAGGAAAUUGAAGAAGCUUGUAAGAGAUUAAAGAAAGAAAUUGACAACUUGGGUCCUGAAAUAGGAGAGCUACGCUGCAUUCCCCUGUACUCCACACUUCCUCCCCAACAACAGCAACGCAUCUUUGACCCUGCUCCACCUAAACGACCUAAUGGUGCCAUUGGUCGCAAGUGUGUUGUAUCAACUAACAUAGCUGAGACAUCCCUCACAAUUGAUGGUGUUGUGUUUGUUAUUGAUCCUGGAUUUUCAAAACAAAAGGUGUAUAACCCUCGCAUUCGUGUAGAGUCCCUGCUAGUUUCUGCCAUCUCAAAAGCCAGUUCACAGCAGAGAGCAGGUCGUGCUGGCCGUACCCGCCCUGGCAAGUGCUUUCGACUCUAUACAGAGAAAGCUUAUCAGAAUGAAAUGCAGGAUAACACGUAUCCUGAGAUCCUGAGGUCUAAUCUCGGUACUGUGGUACUGCAGCUUAAAAAGCUGGGCAUUGACGACUUGGUUCAUUUUGAUUUUAUGGAUCCUCCUGCCCCUGAGACCUUGAUGAGAGCUCUUGAGUUGCUGAAUUAUCUGGGUGCCCUUGAUGACAACGGAGAUCUGACAUCGCUUGGUUCCAUGAUGGCAGAGUUCCCCCUCGACCCACAGCUUGCCAAGAUGGUGAUUGCCAGCUGUGAUCAUAACUGUUCUAACGAGAUCUUAUCCAUUACUGCCAUGUUGUCAGUUCCUCAAGUGUUCCUGAGGCCAAAUGAAGCAAAGAAAGCUGCUGAUGAAGCAAAAAUGAAGUUUGCUCACAUUGAUGGAGAUCACCUCACCUUGCUGAAUGUUUACCAUGCUUACAAGCAAAACCAUGAAGAUGUCCAGUGGUGUUAUGACAACUUUAUUCAACAACGAUCACUCAAGUCUGCAGACAAUGUACGGCAGCAGCUCACCAGAAUCAUGGACAGAUUCAACCUUGCACGACGCAGCACCGACUUCAACAGUCGCGAUUAUUAUGUGAACAUCAGGAAGGCACUUGUGACUGGAUUCUUUAUGCAGAUAUACUGACCAUAAAAUCUGUGAAUCCCAACUUGCCCCUCCACAUUACUGUUCUGAUGAGUUAGGUAGCUCAUUUGGAGAGGUCUGGACACUACUUGACAGUCAAGGACAACCAGGUUGUACAACUGCAUCCAUCUACUUGCUUGGAUCACAAGCCUGAGUGG